UACGUAGGGGGCAAGCGUUAUCCGGAAUUACUGGGUGUAAAGGGUGCGUAGGUGGCGAUUUAAGUCAGAUGUGAAAACUCAGGGCUCAACCUUGAGACUGCAUCUGAAACUGAGUUGCUAGAGUGCAGGAGAGGAAAGCGGAAUUCCCAGUGUAGCGGUGAAAUGCGUAGAUAUUCGGAGGAACACCAGUAGCGAAGGCGGCUUUCUGGACUGUAACUGACACUGAGGCACGAAAGCGUGGGGAGCAAACAGG
Molecule: ribosomal RNA, 253 nt
Filed under: uncultured bacterium
Lineage: Bacteria
Description: partial 16S ribosomal RNA
Rfam family: Bacterial small subunit ribosomal RNA
Source: RNAcentral